Molecule: unclassified non-coding RNA, 233 nt
Filed under: plant metagenome
Description: partial contains small subunit ribosomal RNA, internal transcribed spacer 1, and 5.8S ribosomal RNA
Source: RNAcentral
UCUCCGUAGGUGAACCUGCGGAGGGAUCAUUACAGAGUUCAUGCCCUCACGGGUAGAUCUCCCACCCUUGUGUAUUCAUACCUUUGUUGCUUUGGCAGGCCGCUGGGCUUCGGCCUGGCCACCGGCUCCCGGGCCGGUGCGCGCCUGCCAGGGGACCUCUAAACUCUGUUUGUCAGUGUCGUCUGAGUAUUAUACAAUCGUUAAAACUUUCAACAACGGAUCUCUUGGUUCUG